GAUGAACGCUGGCGGCGUGCCUAAUACAUGCAAGUCGAGCGAACAGACGAGGAGCUUGCUCCUCUGACGUUAGCGGCGGACGGGUGAGUAACACGUGGAUAACCUACCUAUAAGACUGGGAUAACUUCGGGAAACCGGAGCUAAUACCGGAUAAUAUAUUGAACCGCAUGGUUCAAUAGUGAAAGACGGUUUUGCUGUCACUUAUAGAUGGAUCCGCGCCGCAUUAGCUAGUUGGUAAGGUAACGGCUUACCAAGGCGACGACGCGUAGCCGACCUGAGAGGGUGAUCGGCCACACUGGAACUGAGACACGGUCCAGACUCCUACGGGAGGCAGCAGUAGGGAAUCUUCCGCAAUGGGCGAAAGCCUGACGGAGCAACGCCGCGUGAGUGAUGAAGGUCUUCGGAUCGUAAAACUCUGUGAUUAGGGAAGAACAAAUGUGUAAGUAACUAUGCACGUCUUGACGGUACCUAAUCAGAAAGCCACGGCUAACUACGUG
Molecule: ribosomal RNA, 497 nt
Filed under: uncultured bacterium
Lineage: Bacteria
Description: partial 16S ribosomal RNA
Rfam family: Bacterial small subunit ribosomal RNA
Source: RNAcentral